Molecule: long non-coding RNA, 2206 nt
Filed under: Brassica napus (rape)
Lineage: Eukaryota; Viridiplantae; Streptophyta; Magnoliopsida; Brassicales; Brassicaceae
Description: long non-coding RNA (BNAP_LNC016327)
Source: RNAcentral
CCCCCCAGUGAUGAGCUUGUGGAUAGAGAAGAUGAUGAAGGUUUGGUUGCUUCGGAAAAUGUUGUUGUUGAAAGUGAAGGUGUAGACUGUGAUUCCCCUGAUUCGCUGCCCUUACCUGUUCCUCCACCAAAGCCUUCUUCAAAUGAUAAUAGGAGAUCGGUCUUGAGAAGUUUUGGUGCUUUACGAAUUGGAGCAGCACAAACUGGAUCACACCCUUCUUCUCCAAGGUCACUUAGUGAGAACGAAGGCUAUAACAGUUCCGAUGAGCAUAUGCCAUGCUUUGUGCCCUCUCAUACUGGCUCUAGCUCUGGCUUGGUAAGUUUUAUUUUCAGAGAAUUUAUUUUUUGCACUCUUAUGGAUUUUUUUUUUAUAUAUUUGAUUCCUAUUGUACAGGAAAGAGAAGAUGAGUUUGAAACCGAGAUUAGGCAAUCGAAAGGCUUCGAAAUCAGGCGUAUGCUGGAAGAUGGAAAUUGUCUCUUCAGGGCUGUUGCAGAUCAAGUAUAUGGAGACUCGGAGUCACACGACAUGACUAGACAACUGUGCAUGGAUUACAUGGUAAUUUUCUAUCAUUUGUCAAGCUAGGUGUUUGACUUUUGCUUUCAUUAGAUGAGCAGAAAGGGACUUGCAUUUGAGAAUAGCACGUUAGAAAGAUAUAUUGAGCCAACAAUAUAUGAUGCAAUUUCGCUACUUACCGUGUUAUGCUACUUUUGAAACUAUGAUGGUACCUUUUGUUCUGAGUGAGCACACAAGUAGUGGUUUUUAGUUAUGAUGGUAACAAGUGGCAGAACUUACUCACGAUGGAUGGUUUAGGAACACGAGAGGGAUCACUUUUCUCAGUUCAUAACCGAAGGCUUUACCUCUUACUUGAAGAGGAAAAGGAGAAACAAGGUGGCGCUUUUCUCCUAACCUUUGUUAAACUAUGUGUCAAAACAACUUUUGACCCCUCUUCUUUUUACGCAAUGGUAAUAUAGGUCUAUGGAAACAACGUGGAGAUCCAAGCUUUAGCAGAAAUGUAUAAUAGGCCUAUCCACAUUUAUUCAUAUAGCACAGGUGCAACUUAGAUUGACAGUGAAAACAAAAAGUUGUUCAUGUUCGAUAGUGUGACAUGAAAUUUAUGAAAAUUUGUUUUGUUUCCUACAGAGCCGAUCAACAUAUUUCAAGGGAGCUACAACACCGACACACCUCCGAUAAGGCUGAGUUACCACCAUGGGAACCAUUACAAUUCUUUGGUGGAUCCACAUCGGUUGACAGUUGGUGCAGGUCUUGGGUUUGGUAGCCUCAGUGGGGUAAGCUUAGUUUCCUCUCUUGUUCAGAAAGAUAGGCAUCUCUUUGUUUUUUCUCAUUCAGAUUUUCUUUUUUGAUUUCGCCCCGUUCCCUUUGAUUGAUUUCUAUAUGAAAGUUGUGUCAGUUUUGGUAUUGAGAAAGUUGAUUACUUUACAACUAGGAGGAGGCUUUGAGCUUGUAAAGGUUUUAUCUUUGAUGGGAAUGUUUCAGAUUUAGUUUCUUGUGCGUCAGUUAUGAGGGACAUUGUAUGUAGCUUUUGAGCUAGUGAAAGUGUUGUUGGGAUUGUCUAAAGUUGGGGAAUAUUGAUGAAUGCUAGGGGAAUGCAGAUAAGGUCUUGCUGCGAAGGCUGGAAGGAAUCCCACUCUCAAGGGAUUGUCAUCGUUGCCCCUAAAGCAAGAGCCAGGGACAAACCUUGGGAUCAUCAUCACCUCUAAUCUUUCCUUUCUUUGUAUUUCGAAAAAUGGCUCGCAUUUUGGUUCAACGAGGAAGUUCUUCCAACGCAAGCCGCUCUACUUCCUCCUCGUCUGGCUCGUCUUCUUCCUCAGGAACUGAGCCACCACAGGCAAGCAGUAAUGCUCAGGUUCCACCAGUGACAAUUGAUGAAGAAACUUCUACGGAUGGAAAGCAAGAGGAGGUUAUUGUUGUUGAACCAGCAGAGUGUUCUGAGGCUCAGGAUGUAUCACUUCCCCCCAGUGAUGAGCUUGUGGAUAGAGAAGAUGAUGAAGGUUUGGUUGCUUCGGAAAAUGUUGUUGUUGAAAGUGAAGGUGUAGACUGUGAUUCCCCUGAUUCGCUGCCCUUACCUGUUCCUCCACCAAAGCCUUCUUCAAAUGAUAAUAGGAGAUCGGUCUUGAGAAGUUUUGGUGCUUUACGAAUUGGAGCAGCACAAACUGGAUCACACCCUUCUUCUCCAAGGUCACUUAGU